CAGAGACUGCAAGCGUUAUUCGGAUUCACUGGGCGUAAAGGGUGCGCAGGCGGUUGGGUGUGUCAGAUGUGAAAUCCCGAGGCUUAACCUCGGAACUGCGUCUGAAACUACUCGACUAGAGUAUUGGAGAGGGUAACGGAAUUCACGGUGUAGCAGUGAAAUGCGUAGAUAUCGUGAGGAACACCAGAGGCGAAGGCGGUUACCUGGACAAUUACUGACGCUCAGGCACGAAAGCAUGGGGAGCAAAAGGGAUUAGAUACCCCUGUAGUCCAUGCCCUAAACGGUGCACACUAGGUCUUAGCGAAUUCGACCCCACUAGGGCCCAAGCUAACGCGUUAAGUGUGCCGCCUGAGGACUACGGUCGCAAGACUA
Molecule: ribosomal RNA, 372 nt
Filed under: uncultured organism
Description: bacterial SSU rRNA
Rfam family: Bacterial small subunit ribosomal RNA
Source: RNAcentral